GUGGAGCGGUGAGAGCAGAGAGAGAGAGGUGGAGCGGUGAGAGCAGAGAGAGAGAGGUGGAGCGGUGAGAGAAGAGAGAGAGAGAGCGGUGAGAGCAGAGAGAGAGUUGGAGCGGUGAGAGCAGAGAGAGAGAGAGUUGGAGCGGUGAGAGCAGAGAGAGAGAGUUGGAGCGGUGAGAGCAGAGAGAGAGAGAGUGGAGCGGUGAGAGCAGAGAGAGAGAGGAGGAGCGGUGAGAGCAGAGAGAGAGAGAGGUGGAGCGGUGAGAGCAGAGAGAGAGACACUGGACACUGAAUCAGCUCACAUUAAGGCACUGCAGGAAAAAAAUAAAUGGGGUGUUAUUCAGUUUCACAGUGAACAGAGGAGCCGGCAGAAAAAAAGAAAACGCUUCCCCGAUGAGACUGAAGAUGACAUAGCAAACGAACAGAAGUCAGACACUGGAUUUUGCUAAACACAGUGUUUUAUGUGGCUCUGGAUAGUAUAAUCAGUCAUUUGCACAUGCGGUUCCAC
Oncorhynchus tshawytscha (Chinook salmon) is the source of this 507-nucleotide long non-coding RNA. The record is from Ensembl. NCBI's taxonomy places the organism in Eukaryota, Metazoa, Chordata, Actinopteri, Salmoniformes, Salmonidae.